This 380-nucleotide unclassified non-coding RNA is filed under the name Gymnema maingayi. Its description in RNAcentral is "partial external transcribed spacer". The record is from RNAcentral. Lineage: Eukaryota; Viridiplantae; Streptophyta; Magnoliopsida; Gentianales; Apocynaceae.
UUCAGUUGUGGUCAAGUGCGGCACCGCCUUGGCCGCGACCCGGUUUCCUGUGUUGCGUACCCACGCGAAGGCAUUCGUUCGUCCCAACGUCCCUCGUUCGUCUAGCGGUCCGCUCCUUGGCGGGUCGCGAGACGAAACUCGCAGCAUGAUCCGUUACCCGUGCGGCGUCUCUGCCGACGCGGCGAACGGGGCAUCGCUCGAGCUCUCGGAUACGGAAAGCGCAURGGGCAUCGGGGGUCUCGCGGCCUCCCAUCGUUGCCCGAACUCGCAUUACGCACCGACGGUGCACGACCGUCGCUCCCGUCUCGGCCCGGCCGUGCGGCGACGACGUCGUUCUCGAGGAAUGCUACCUGGUUGAUCCUGCCAGUAGCAUAUGCUUA